RNAcentral lists this ribosomal RNA (236 nucleotides) under uncultured Actinomycetales bacterium. RNAcentral's name for it is "partial 16S ribosomal RNA". It matches the Rfam family "Bacterial small subunit ribosomal RNA", at positions 93 to 334 of the family's 1533-position model. The record is from RNAcentral. Lineage: Bacteria; Bacillati; Actinomycetota; Actinomycetes; Actinomycetales.
GAAUGGCGAACGGGUGAGUAACACGUGGGUGAUCUGCCCUGCACUUCGGGAUAAGCUUGGGAAACUGGGUCUAUACCGGAUAGGAGCCAUCUUUAGUGUGGUGGUUGGAAAGUUUUUCGGUGUAGGAUGAGCUCGCGGCCUAUCAGCUUGUUGGUGGGGUAAUGGCCUACCAAGGCGGCGACGGGUAGCCGGCCUGAGAGGGUGUACGGCCACAUUGGGACUGAGAUACGGCCCAG